This 439-nucleotide ribosomal RNA is filed under the name uncultured bacterium. RNAcentral describes it as "partial 16S ribosomal RNA". It matches the Rfam family "Bacterial small subunit ribosomal RNA", at positions 339 to 795 of the family's 1533-position model. The record is from RNAcentral.
CUACGGGGCGCAGCAGUGAGGAAUAUUGCACAAUGGGGGGAACCCUGAUGCAGCAACGCCGCGUGGAGGAUGACGCAUUUCGGUGUGUAAACUCCUUUUAUAUGUCAAGAAAAUGACGGUAGCAUAUGAAUAAGCACCGGCUAACUCCGUGCCAGCGGCCGCGGUAAUACGGAGGGUGCAAGCGUUACUCGGAAUCACUGGGCGUAAAGGACGCGUAGGCGGGUUGGAAAGUCAGGUGUGAAAUCCUACAGCUUAACUGUAGAACUGCACUUGAAACUUCUAAUCUAGAGUAUGGGAGGGGGAGGUGGAAUUAGUGGUGUAGGGGUAAAAUCCGUAGAUAUCACUAGGAAUACCUAAAGCGAAGGCGAUCUCCUGGAACAUUACUGACGCUAAGGCGUGAAAGCGUGGGGAGCAAACAGGAUUAGAUACCCCCGUAGUC